AUUAUAUAUAUAGAGAGAUCCAGUGUAGAUAUAGAGAGAGAAAGCGGAACAGAGAGAGAGGGAGAGAGAGAGAGAGAGCGAGAGAGAGACGAAGGAAAGCACAGAGCAAUUAGGGAAGACGGUAACACUCCGAUCAAACCCUAGGCUCCUGAUUGUCUGUUGUUUCGGCCGUUGUUUGGAUUUGUUGCAACCAGUUUUUUGUUCCUUUCUUUUUGGUUAUUGACGGCCUUUUUGUGUUUGAGGAGAUCGGGAACAGAAAUGGACGGGCGUCUUCAGAUCUGGCUUUCUAGUUGUGGUGUGAGGCUUAAUUAGAAUCAUCACAUGGCUCUCUUGACAUACUGAUGGUAAAAAUCUCUCUCAAUCUUCUUGGGUUUCUCGUGCAUUGGCAUUGCUAAUAAUCAUCUGGAUUACUGUAGUUUAGUUGUGGAAAUUCGGAUCUUGGCUUCCAGUUGAAUAUUGUUAUUGGCCGCAGUUGUAUUUCUUGUUCAAUGGAAUUUGGAAUGUAAAUUUGAUGAUCAACUGAGAGUAAGUUGAAAGUUCUGUUCUGUGUCAUCCCGGUUGCUGGCUGUGUGAGGAACUUAUCAGCGAUCUGUUUUGACAAUUAAUGUCGCGUAAGUUGCAUAGCCCUGUUCAGACUCAGAUGGCCGUGGCAGCUUUCAGGAGCCCGCUUGGAAAUGGGGAGUAUCGUGGAAGUAAUGUAACUGAAGGUGAACCACCAUGUCGGAGGCGAGUUUUUGUGCAGACUGAUUCAGGGCGUGUAUUGGGGAUGGAGUUGGACAGGAGUGACAAUGCACAUACUGUGAAAAGGAGAUUACGGAUUGCCUUAAACUACCCCACUGAAGAGACUUCUUUGACAUUUGGUGACAUGAUUCUCAAAAAUGAUCUUAGUGCUGUUCGGAAUGAUUCCCCUCUCCUGCUGACCAGGAGCUUGAUGCACAGAAGCUCGUCAAGUCCAUGCUUGUCGCCUACCAGUAGGGAUCUCCAACAGAGAGAUCAAAGUGGGCCAAUCGAGAUUCUGGGUAACUCAAACUGCUUUGACAAGACAAAGCCACUUGCUAAGGAAAUCGUCAAGGCAGUGAAAAAAGGUGUUGAUCCGAUACCUGUACACAGUGGGCUUGGAGGUGCAUAUUAUUUCAGAAAUGCACAAGGUGAGUGUGUGGCAAUUGUGAAGCCGACAGAUGAGGAACCGUAUGCUCCAAACAACCCCAAGGGCUUUGUUGGGAAAUCUCUUGGGCAACCAGGCCUUAAACGAUCUGUGAGGGUUGGUGAAACAGGGAUCAGAGAAGUAGCUGCAUAUCUUCUCGACUAUGAUCAUUUCGCAAAUGUGCCGCCUACUGCUCUUGUAAAGAUCACUCACAAUGUCUUCAAUGUCAAUGAUCGUGUGAAAGAGAGCAAGCCACAGGACAAGAUGCUUGUCAGCAAGAUUGCGUCCUUCCAGCAGUACAUUCCACAUGAUUAUGAUGCUAAUGACCAUGGGACCUCAAGUUUCCCUGUUUCGGCUGUGCAUCGCAUUGGUAUUUUAGAUAUUAGGAUUCUGAACACCGAUAGACAUGCAGGCAAUCUUUUGGUAAGGAAGCUUGAUCGAGUAGGGAGGUUCGGUGAGGUGGAACUUGUCCCCAUUGAUCAUGGCCUGUGCUUACCUGAGAGUUUGGAAGAUCCAUACUUUGAAUGGAUCCAUUGGCCUCAGGCUUCGAUCCCAUUCUCUGAAGAUGAACUUGAGUACAUUCAAAAUCUUGACCCUGCUUUUGAUGCAGAGAUGCUGCAACGUGAGCUGCCCAUGAUUCGAGAGGCGUGUCUGCGUGUAUUGUACCUCUGCACAAUUUUUCUCAAGGAAGCUGCAGCAUAUGGACUGUGUCUUGCUGAGAUAGGGGAGAUGAUGAGUCGGGAAUUUCGCUGUGGUGAAGAAGAUCCUAGUGAGCUUGAGGUUAUAUGUAUUGAAGCAAGAAGACUUCUUGCUGAGGAAAUGUUAUCACCGAAAACUGAGGCAGAUAUUGAUGAGUUUCAAUUCGACUUAGAUUGUGAAGAGGGCCAUGAGUUAUCUCCAAAGUUGGUCUCCGAAGAUUUUGUAUUGGGAGCACCAUUCCAUUUUGGCUUUGGAGGCUUAAAUGGCCGUAAUCCAUUAUCCAAGCUUGAAGAAUGUGUCGAGGAGGAUGAGGAGGAGGGAGCAAAAAGUGAUGGAGAAGAGGAGGGAAUUUUUACGCAACCACCAGUAGGAGAUGAUCAGCAUGUUUCUAAGUUGUCUAUGUCACUGAAAAACAUUAGCAUAGGCGAGAAGAACUUAAAGCCCCUAAAGUUUCCAGGGGCCAAACCGAGCAUUAGCUCUCUUGCUAGCUCAUCAUCUGGCUGCAGGAGUGCCAAUGAACAGGUCCCUGCAAGUAUCAGCUUUGUGAAGCUAUCCGACAUGAACAACAAAGAGUGGCAACUGUUUUUGGAUAAGUUCCAGCGGCUGCUUCACCCAGCAUUCGCCAAACGGAAGUCUACUGUCCUUUUCCAGAGGCAGAGACAGAGGCUUGGGACUUCCUGCCAGUUUUGAGAGACGGGUAUGGCUACAAUAAGUUGCUAUGAUAGAUGAAUAUUAGAUCGACGGCUUUACCAUAGCAUAUGGUAUCUUGGUUUGUGCUUUCAUAAUCAUCCCUGAGACAUACUAGGUUGAAGUAGCAGCAACAGGUGUGUGUAAAUAUAUCUCCGGAGGCCCACAUAAUGGUUGCAAUUGUGAUAUGUCUUCAAGAACAGAACCUGAUUCUUGAAGACGGCUACAAGGUAAAGUGGCAAAUCUUAGUUGGAGGUUCCAAGUUUUGGUGAUAAAAGUUUCUUUUUUUCUUGAUAUGUAGAAUCAAGAUAUCCCAGCUGGUAUGGGAUCUUACUUUUAUAAAUGAAAUAUGUCCUGAUAGAGUUUGGUAUAUUCCCCCCCACCCCCGACUGUCAAUUGUUUGGCUGAAAGAAUCUCUCGCCAUUGAUCCAUUACAAAUAUCUCCUGAGAAAAGUAGCUCAGGAUAGAUAGCUAUAGAAUAAUUAGUUGAUUCCAUACUAAUAUAGCUCAGGUCCUAAAUUAAAUGAAAACCCUGAUGUUUCUUCAAGAAUUGAUACAACCCUUCAAUGAAAAUAACAUAGGGAAAAAAAAAAAAAAAAAAAAAGCCCCUUAAGAUUCAAG
This is an RNA transcript of Andrographis paniculata, 3151 nucleotides long. It is a transcript of the gene named phosphatidylinositol 4-kinase gamma 5-like, with no coding region annotated. The record is from RefSeq and is a predicted model, not a curated record. The transcript has 3 exons. Lineage: Eukaryota; Viridiplantae; Streptophyta; Magnoliopsida; Lamiales; Acanthaceae.